GUAUUCGUGGUUCAGUGGUAGAAUUCUUGCCUUUCACGUGAGCGACCUGGGUUUGAUUCCUGCCAAUGUA
This 70-nucleotide transfer RNA is filed under the name Loxodonta africana (African savanna elephant). It matches the Rfam family "tRNA". Rfam says of the family: Transfer RNA (tRNA) molecules are approximately 80 nucleotides in length. Lineage: Eukaryota; Metazoa; Chordata; Mammalia; Proboscidea; Elephantidae. The record is from Rfam by way of RNAcentral.